RNAcentral lists this unclassified non-coding RNA (391 nucleotides) under soil metagenome. RNAcentral describes it as "partial contains 5.8S ribosomal RNA, internal transcribed spacer 2, and large subunit ribosomal RNA". The stretch from base 1 to 122 matches the Rfam family "5.8S ribosomal RNA", at positions 35 to 154 of the family's 154-position model. The record is from RNAcentral.
GAUGAAGAACGCAGCGAAAUGCGAUACUUGGUGUGAAUUGCAGAAUCCCGUGAACCAUCGAGUCUUUGAACGCAAGUUGCGCCCGAAGCCACUAGGCCGAGGGCACGCCUGCCUGGGCGUCACACGCCGUUGCCCCCCCAUCUACUCCUUCGGGAUUGCGGGGGGGCGGAUGAUGGCCUCCUGUGCGCCUAGCCGCGCGGUUGGCAUAGAUACCAAGUCCUCGGCGACGCACGCCACGACAAUCGGUGGUUGCGAAACCUCGGUUGCCCGUCGUGUGCGUUCGUCGCGCAUCGAGGGCUCGAAAAAAUGCUCGGCUCCGGCUGGGCUUUCAACGCGACCCCAGGUCAGGCGGGGUUACCCGCUGAAUUUAAGCAUAUCAAUAAGCGGAGGA